This 743-nucleotide long non-coding RNA is filed under the name Vigna radiata. RNAcentral describes it as "long non-coding RNA (VRAD_LNC011867)". Lineage: Eukaryota; Viridiplantae; Streptophyta; Magnoliopsida; Fabales; Fabaceae. The record is from RNAcentral.
GGUGGAGCGAGAGUUUCGAAUAGAGCGAGAGUUUCAAAUGGUGGAGCGAGAGUUUCGAAUAGAGCGAGAGUUUCGAAUGGUGGAACGAAAGUUUCGAAUGGUGGAGCGACAGUUGAGAAUAAUGGAACGAGAGUUUCGAAUGGUGGAGCGAGAGUUGAAAAUGGUGGAGCGAGAGUUGAGAAUGACGAAACUGACGAGAAAGAGUUUCAAAUGAAAAAAAUGGUGAAGGCGCCAACAGAUUUUUCAGUUUUUUGCUUUCCAAAAGUGCCCACAAAAACUCAUUUUAUCUUUUUGAAAAAGUCAUUUAAAACAACAAAUGACAGAACGACACGUGUCAUUGUCAAUUUGUUGUCAAACAAGCGUUUUGUGAUUGUGUGGAAGAGUGGAUGUGUGGAAGAAUGGAUGUGUGGAAGAGUUUUGUGAUAUGGACGACGGGAAGAUUGGAAGAAGGAGGGAGAGAAGGAAAGAUAUGGAGGAAGACAGAGGGAUAAAAAACUACCGUUAACCACAUUAGCAACUUUUUUAACGGUGUUAGUUAGUCUUAAUUUCUUCUCAACCAUUGGAAAUUCUUCAAUUUAGCCAUGAUUGAAUCAAUUAUGGGGUCAUUUAUAAUUAGACAAUUCAUCCUUGUAUCCUCUAGAAAGGAUUUACAAGCUUGCUUUCACUUCAGGUACAUAAAUGACACAUUAAAAUGCUCAAGAAACAUUUAUGCCUUUAUAUAAUAUCAUCAAAAUUCAGCUCAU